Molecule: ribosomal RNA, 449 nt
Filed under: uncultured bacterium
Lineage: Bacteria
Description: bacterial SSU rRNA
Rfam family: Bacterial small subunit ribosomal RNA
Source: RNAcentral
UGGGGAAUAUUGGACAAUGGGGGCAACCCUGAUCCAGCCAUGCCGCGUGGGUGAAGAAGGCCUUCGGGUUGUAAAGCCCUUUUGUACGGGAAGAAAAGCUUCUGGUUAAUAACCGGGAGUCAUGACGGUACCGUAAGAAUAAGCACCGGCUAACUUCGUGCCAGCAGCCGCGGUAAUACGAAGGGUGCAAGCGUUACUCGGAAUUACUGGGCGUAAAGCGUGCGUAGGCGGUAAGUUAAGUCUGAUGUGAAAUCCCCGGGCUCAACCUGGGAAUGGCAUUGGAUACUGGCACGCUAGAGUACGGUAGAGGGUGGUGGAAUUCCCGGUGUAGCAGUGAAAUGCGUAGAGAUCGGGAGGAACAUCCGUGGCGAAGGCGGCCACCUGGACCAGUACUGACGCUGAGGCACGAAAGCGUGGGGAGCAAACAGGAUUAGAUACCCCGGUAGUCC